Molecule: ribosomal RNA, 473 nt
Filed under: uncultured bacterium
Lineage: Bacteria
Description: bacterial SSU rRNA
Rfam family: Bacterial small subunit ribosomal RNA
Source: RNAcentral
GACACGCUGGCGGCGUGCCUAACACAUGCAAGUCGAACGGAGAUAUUUAGAGUACUUGUACAAAGGAUAUCUUAGUGGCGGACGGGUGAGUAACACGUGAGCAACCUGGCUUAAAGAGGGGGAUAACAUUCGGAAACGGAUGCUAAUACCGCAUAAGACCACACUGACACAUGUCAGAGGGGUAAAAGGAGCAAUCCGCUUUAAGAUGGGCUCGCGGACCAUUAGUUAGUUGGUGAGGUAACGGCUCACCAAGACUGCGAUGGAUAGCCGACCUGAGAGGGUGAACGGCCACAUUGGAACUGAGACACGGUCCAGACUCCUACGGGAGGCAGCAGUGGGGAAUAUUGGGCAAUGGAGGCAACUCUGACCCAGCAACGCCGCGUGAGGGAAGAAGGUUUUCGGAUUGUAAACCUCUGUCCUUGGGGACGAAGAAAGUGACGGUACCCGAGGAGGAAGCCCCGGCUAACUACGUG